UAUCUUUCACUUUCGUCUCCCUCUCUCUCUCUAGAGUUAUACUUGUUAUUUUUAUUUUUCAUUUGUAGUAAUAAUUAAGCCUGUCCCGUUUUAAGUAUUUUAACUCCUGAUCACUGCUAACCUUUUUCGAUCGAUCUGAGCCUCAUAACAUAUGUCAGGGCUCUGCCCGACUAAGUUGUUGGGAUUCAAUCUCGGGACAUCGGGACAAGGUUGAAUUAGGGGUACUAUACUUAACACGAGUACAUUAUAUAUUUUUAAAUAAAUCAAAAGUUAUACCCAAAAUUUAUACCAGGAGAUUUUCUAGUUGAACCCUAAAGUUACAAAGUGGGUCCAUUCUCUUUUCUCACCGUUUUAUUUCCUUUUUGUGAUUUACCCAAAACUAUUAUUUAUUAUUCUAUUUUGUAAACAACUCUCAUCAAAAGUCAUAUCUAUUAUUUUAUUUACCCAAUAGGAAACACUAGUUGAGACACCCAAGUAAUCCUGCACAACUCCUAAAAUUUUCAGAACAAUCAGAAUCAGGAUCAGGAUCAGGGCCCCUAAAACUCAGGGGGGUAUUCCCUACUCGACGAUUAUCCACAUAUCUUGCUGUCUAAUUCGAAUUUAUCAAUCCCGUCGACUCAUACAAGCUAGUUGGACACGUGGCAAGCCUAUGAUGAAACGUGUCCCGUCGCGUCACGCGAGGCCCCCGGGGUGACCCCUCGCGUCACGCGAGGGGGUCAAAUUUCAGCUAUAAAUAGAAGGGGUUAUGAGCAUUUCAUGGGUGUCGAUCAAAAUUUUCAAAAAUGAAAUUAGACUACUCUAAUUCGUAAAAUACAUUCACAAUAGCGAGGCGCUGCUACGAUAUUGAGUAUUAACUCAAUCGCUGUUAUGAUUCAAUAUCCGAUCGAUUGAAACUAUCCGACAGGAUGUUUAAGUGCUAACCUUUGUCAUUCAUCGUGAUUCCGACAGGAUGUUUUAGUACCACCCGAACUCAGGGAAUACUCUGUCAUUCGUUGUGAAUCCGAUGGAUGUUUAAGUGAUUGCACUUUGUCAUUCGUUGUGAGGGUUUUAAUCUCGUGAGUUAUCGUAAAUGUUGUAUUAGUUACUUACCUAGUUCGUGUGCACUAGGUUACAAGGCUAAUCAAUAGGCUAAGCUCUACCUGUAUAAAUCUGCAAUAUAUCAAGGCUUAUCUGUAGACUAAACUUUGCCCGUAUGAAUCUGCAUGCUUAUAAUGUAAUUACAGUAGAUUGGAGUAAGGAUUGGAUCCGGCACUGAAGGAUUUCAAGAAGUGGCUUAUUUUAUUAAUUAAAUCAAGUUAAGAAAUAUUGUUUUUAUUAAAAGCUACCUUUGUAAAACCUGAAUUUAUUCCAUCUAUUUAAAUAAAAUCCGGUGUUUUCUAAACUCUGAUAUUUUUCCUAACUCACGGUCCUGAUGAAAUUUCCGCUGCAAUAUUUUUCAAAAUAAUCAACGGUACCACUGGGCUGCUCACGGCUCCCGAUUCCGUCCAGGGUGGGUCGGGGGUCGUGACACCCUAGUUUCAAGAAAUCAAGCAAUUGAACCUGAAAUCAAAGGAUAAUCCAAUGCAUGAGCCCCUAAUUUCGAGUAGCUAACCCCAAUUUUUGAAGUGGCGUGAAGGAAGAAGGUUCAAACACUAGGAAAUCGGAAGGCUCACAAGAUCGAGGUAAAUCCUCAACAUAAGCGAUUGGACGAUUUGGGACGAGCACACAUGAUCUAUGCCCACCUCACGCUUCCGAUAAUGCUAACUUAUUGUGGUUUUAGUUUUGGUUUUAUGUACUUUCAACUUAUGUAGUCUUUUGAUGUCCUUGUAGUUUGGGCAAUAACUUCGUAGUAGUAGUUAUGUUUUUGAACAAUGUAGACAAUGUCCAUUUUGGGUUUUAAAAAGGUCUUUUAUGUUGUAGU
Molecule: long non-coding RNA, 1900 nt
Filed under: Helianthus annuus (common sunflower)
Lineage: Eukaryota; Viridiplantae; Streptophyta; Magnoliopsida; Asterales; Asteraceae
Description: hypothetical non coding rna
Source: RNAcentral